This 468-nucleotide ribosomal RNA is filed under the name uncultured bacterium. RNAcentral describes it as "partial 16S ribosomal RNA". It matches the Rfam family "Bacterial small subunit ribosomal RNA", at positions 28 to 507 of the family's 1533-position model. The record is from RNAcentral.
GACGAACGCUGGCGGCGUGCUUAACACAUGCAAGUCGAACGGAAAGGCCCUGCUUUUGUGGGGUGCUCGAGUGGCGAACGGGUGAGUAACACGUGAGUAACCUGCCCUCGACUUUGGGAUAACUUCAGGAAACUGGGGCUAAUACCGGAUAGGAGCUCCUGCUGCAUGGUGGGGGUUGGAAAGUUUCGGCGGUUGGGGAUGGACUCGCGGCUUAUCAGCUUGUUGGUGGGGUGGUGGCUUACCAAGGCUUUGACGGGUAGCCGGCCUGAGAGGGUGACCGGCCACAUUGGGACUGAGAUACGGCCCAGACUCCUACGGGAGGCAGCAGUGGGGAAUAUUGCACAAUGGGCGGAAGCCUGAUGCAGCAACGCCGCGUGCGGGAUGACGGCCUUCGGGUUGUAAACCGCUUUCGCCUGUGACGAAGCGUGAGUGACGGUAAUGGGUAAAGAAGCACCGGCUAACUACGUG